This 116-nucleotide ribosomal RNA is filed under the name Pteropus alecto (black flying fox). Lineage: Eukaryota; Metazoa; Chordata; Mammalia; Chiroptera; Pteropodidae. The record is from RNAcentral.
GUCUCCGGCCAUGCCACCCUGAACAAGCCUGAUGUCUGAUCUCGAAAGCUAAGCAACGUCAGGCCUGGUUAGUACUUGGAUGGGAGACCACCUAGGAAGACCAGGUGCUAUAGGCA